Molecule: unclassified non-coding RNA, 214 nt
Filed under: Hevea brasiliensis (rubber tree)
Lineage: Eukaryota; Viridiplantae; Streptophyta; Magnoliopsida; Malpighiales; Euphorbiaceae
Source: RNAcentral
UGCUGGAUGGGAUGAAACAGGUCCUGGUCUAUAUUACGUAGACAGUGAGGGAGGGAGGCUGAAAGGAACAAGAUUUUCUGUUGGAUCUGGUUCACCUUAUGCCUAUGGUGUCUUGGAUAAUGGAUAUCGGUAUGACUUGUCUGUUGAAGAAGCUGCUGAACUGGCAAGACGAGCUAUUUAUCAUGCAACUUUCCGAGAUGGAGCCAGUGGUGGA